Molecule: ribosomal RNA, 501 nt
Filed under: uncultured bacterium
Lineage: Bacteria
Description: partial 16S ribosomal RNA
Rfam family: Bacterial small subunit ribosomal RNA
Source: RNAcentral
AUUGAACGCUGGCGGCAUGCCUUACACAUGCAAGUCUAACGGCAGCACGGGUGCUUGCACCUGGUGGCGAGUGGCGAACGGGUGAGUAAUACAUCGGAACGUACCUUAUCGUGGGGGAUAACGCAGCGAAAGCUGUGCUAAUACCGCAUACGCACUGAGGGGGAAAGCGGGGGAUCGCAAGACGUCGCGUGACUAGAGCGGCCGAUGUCUGAUUAGCUUGUUGGUGGGGUAAAAGACCCGCAAGGCGACGAUCAGGAGCUGGUCGGAGCGGACCAUCAGCCAGACUGGACCUUGGAAAGAGCCCAGACUCCUACGGGAGGCAGCAGUGGGUAAUGUUGGACAAUGGGGGCAACCCUGAUCCAGCAAUACCGCGUGAGUGAAGAAGCCCUUCGGGUUGGAAAGAUCUUUUGUCAGGGAAGAAACACCGGCUCUAACACAGUCCGGGAAUGACGGUACCUGAAGAAUAAGCACCGGAUAACUACGUGCCAGCCGCCGCCGUAA